AUGACCGCUUUACCAAUAGUUGAGACUCAAUCUUGAGACAUUUCCGCCUAUAUUCCUACUAAUGUAAUCUCCAUUAUAGAUGGACAAAUAUUCUUAUCUGCGGAUCUAUUCAAUGUCGGAAUUCGACCUGCUAUUAAUGUGGGUAUUCUGUUUCCAGAGACAAGAUCCGCGGCUCAAAUUAAAGCCAUGAAACAAGUAGCUGGCAAAUCAAAAUUGGAACUAGCUCAAUUCGCAGAGUUACAAGCCUUUGCACAAUUUUCCUCUACUCUCGAUAAGACAAGUUAGAAUCAAUUGGCAAGGGGUCGACGAUUAAGGGAAUUUCUUAGACAAUCCGAGGCAAAUCCUCUCCCAAUUGAAGAGUUGAUAGCUACUAUUUAUACUAGAACAAGAGGAUAUCUUGAUUCGUUAGAAAUUGAACAGGUAAAUAAAUUUCUGGAUGAGUUACGUAAACAUAUAAAAGAUACUAAACCUCAAUUCCAAGAAAUUGUAUGUUCUAGCAAGACAUUCACCGAGCAAGCGGAAAUCCUUUUGAAGGAAGCUAUUCAGGAACAACUGGAACGGUUUUCUCUUCAGUAA
RNAcentral lists this ribosomal RNA (576 nucleotides) under Triticum aestivum (bread wheat). Its description in RNAcentral is "partial small subunit ribosomal RNA". Lineage: Eukaryota; Viridiplantae; Streptophyta; Magnoliopsida; Poales; Poaceae. The record is from RNAcentral.